CAGCCGCCGCGGUAACACGUAGGUGGCGAGCGUUGUCCGGAAUCAUUGGGCGUAAAGGGAGCGCAGGCGGGCAUGUAAGUCUUUCUUAAAAGUGCGGGGCUCAACCCCGUGAUGGGAAAGAAACUACAUGUCUUGAGUACAGGAGAGGAAAGCGGAAUUCCCAGUGUAGCGGUGAAAUGCGUAGAUAUUGGGAGAAACACCAGUGGCGAAGGCGGCUUUCUGGACUGCAACUGACACUGAGGCUCGAAAGCCAGGGGAGCGAACGGGAUUAGAUACCCGCGUAGUCCCUGUCUCUUAUACA
RNAcentral lists this ribosomal RNA (301 nucleotides) under uncultured bacterium. Its description in RNAcentral is "partial 16S ribosomal RNA". It matches the Rfam family "Bacterial small subunit ribosomal RNA", at positions 509 to 809 of the family's 1533-position model. The record is from RNAcentral.